CCUACGGGAGGCAGCAGUAAGGAAUAUUGGACAAUGGUCGCAAGACUGAUCCAGCCAUGCCGCGUGAAGGAUGACGGCCCUAUGGGUUGUAAACUUCUUUUGUAUGGGAAAAAACCUCUCUACGUGUAGAGAGCUGAUUGUACCAUAAGAAUAAGGAUCGGCUAACUCCGUGCCAGCAGCCGCGGUAAUACGGAGGAUCCAAGCGUUAUCCGGAUUCAUUGGGUUUAAAGGGUGCGUAGGCGGAAUGAUAAGUCAGUGGUGAAAGCCUGCAGCUUAACUGCAGAACUGCCAUUGAUACUGUCAAUCUUGAGUACAUUUGAUGUGGGCGGAAUGUGUCAUGUAGCGGUGAAAUGCUUAGAUAUGACACAGAACACCGAUUGCGAAGGCAGCUCACAAAACUGUAACUGACGCUGAGGCACGAAAGCGUGGGUAUCAAACAGGAUUAGAUACCCUGGUAGUCCACGCUGUAAACUAUGAUUACUCGAUGUUUGCGAUACACUGUAAGCGUCUAAGCGAAAGCGAUAAGUAAUCCACCUGGGGAGUACGCUCGCAGAGUGAAACUUCAAAUUGAAUUGAGG
This 578-nucleotide ribosomal RNA is filed under the name uncultured bacterium. RNAcentral's name for it is "bacterial SSU rRNA". It matches the Rfam family "Bacterial small subunit ribosomal RNA", at positions 338 to 915 of the family's 1533-position model. The record is from RNAcentral.